Long non-coding RNA from Herpailurus yagouaroundi (jaguarundi), 1272 nucleotides. RefSeq lists it as uncharacterized. Lineage: Eukaryota; Metazoa; Chordata; Mammalia; Carnivora; Felidae. The record is from RefSeq and is a predicted model, not a curated record. The transcript has 3 exons.
CAUAAAGAUUUGCCUUCUUCCUUUUGGAAGGGUCCUGCAAGUCACGCCUUAUCAAAUGAGGCAUGAUACACGAGCGAUCUGCGGCUCUAAAGUCUUCCUCACCAGAUAUCCAUUGGGAGAAGAUGCAGACUCUGAGCCUUGUAUAAAUAUUGUACAGAGAAGGGAAUGGCAAACAAGCUGAAAUGGAGAGGAGGAAGAGCACCUAUUCUAAUACUUUCUGUUCUGUUCUACCAGUGUCUCCAAAGCAGUUGUUCCAACCAUGGCCAACAUAGUAAUGGUUGUCUGUGUUGCCCACCUGACCAGUUCCUAGCACAUGCUUUCCCUGACUGCUGUUCUGAAAUAUCCACUAAGUGUGUCCUUUGAGCAUGAUGCGCUCUUAACCCAUGGGUAAACCUCAUGAAAGGUGAUGAGGAAUGCAUUAUAUUGGGCCAACAAGUGAGUCACAGGGGUUCUCAUCCCAAAGAAACAUAAGCUUCCUUCCCUGCUAAUUAUACUAUGCAUCCUUCUUUUCAUAAAUUUUAUAUUUAUAAAAUAGUUUAAACAACGAAGCAUCCUUCAUCUAAAGAGGACUAAACCAAAAGGAAAAAAAAAAACUUGCAACAGAAAUAAUAUCGUUUUAAUUCUUAUCUCUAAGGUCAGAUGAUAAGUAACAUUCACAUGACACUUUAUCAUUUAUAAAGUGCUUUCACAUACACUCAUUUUAUUUUUGUAUCCUUCAGACUAAAAGGUUGAUGGCAUCACCCCCAUUUUACAGAUGAUGCCAUAAAAGGCUUGGAAAGAUUAGCAGCCCUUCCUGAUCUGAUAUGGCCAUCAGACUGCUCAGCGGGGACUGGAACUGCAGUCUUCUGCUCCUGGCUACACCCUGGGCUGUUCUGGGGCUUGCUGGUGACCAGUUCAACCUCAAACCCUAGUUUACGGAAUUACAUAAAGUCAUGUGCCAUUUGUCUGAAUGGAAACUGGACUACAGCAAAUAGAGCCGAUCAACACAAAGCCACAAUCACCACUUACUAAGGCCCAUUGGGCUCAUUUGUGGAUGUGUUGUACUUGAUCUUGUUGAGCAUGACUCUUAAGUCACCAUGCCUGCUCCUGCCAAUGACCAACACAAACCGGAGGGAUCUUCCGGUGUCAUAAUUAAGACAAGAUAUUUAAAACACAAAUGUGCAAAAACAAUAGAUGCAAAUAUAAGUGUGAAUGCAACACCCUCCCACCCCAACCCCUGCAGGAUCUUCAGUGCCUGGUUAUGCCAUUGCCAGUGGAGAAGGCUGGACGUGC